GGACCUCGGGAUGCAUGUUCCGGGGUGGAAAGGUUUUCCGGUGCAGGAUGGGCCCGCGGCCUAUCAGCUUGUUGGUGGGGUAACGGCCCACCAAGGCGACGACGGGUAGCCGGCGCUGAGAGGGCGACCGGCCACACUGGGACUGAGACACGGCCCAGACUCCUACGGGAGGCAGCAGUGGGGAAUAUUGCACAAUGGGCGCAAGCCUGAUGCAGCGACGCCGCGUGAGGGAUGACGGCCUUCGGGUUGUAAACCUCUUUCAGUACCGACGAAGCGCAAGUGACGGUAGGUACAGAAGAAGCACCGGCCAACUACGUGCCAGCAGCCGCGGUAAUACGUAGGGUGCGAGCGUUGUCCGGAAUUACUGGGGUAAAGAGCUCGUAGGCGGUUUGUCGCGUCGUCUGUGAAAACCCGCAGCUCAACUGCGGGCUUGCAGGCGAUACGGGCAGACUUGAGUACUGCAGGGGAGACUGGAAUUCCUGGUGUAGCGGUGAAAUGCGCAGAUAUCAGGAGGAACACCGGUGGCGAAGGCGGGUCUCUGGGCAGUAACGGACGCUGAGGAGCGAAAGCGUGGGUAGCGAACAGGAUUAGAUACCCUGGUAGUCCACGCCGUAAAGGUGGGCGCUAGGUGUGGGUUUCCUUCCACGGGAUCCGUGCCGUAGCUAACGCAUUAAGCGCCCCGCCUGGGGAGUACGGCCGCAAGGCUAAAACUCAAAGGAAUUGACGGGGGCCCGCACAAGCGGCGGAGCAUGUGGAUUAAUUCGAUGCAACGCGAAGAACCUUACCUGGGUUUGACAUACACCGGACCGCCCCAGAGAUGGGGUUUCCCUUGUGGUCGGUGUACAGGUGGUGCAUGGCUGUCGUCAGCUCGUGUCGUGAGAUUGUUGGGUUAAGUCCCGCAACGAGCGCAACCCUUGUCCUGUGUUGCCAGCACGUAAUGGUGGGGACUCGCAGGAGACUGCCGGGGUCAACUCGGAGGAAGGUGGGGACGACGUCAAGUCAUCAUGCCCCUUAUGUCCAGGGCUUCACACAUGCUACAAUGGCCGGUACAGAAGGGCUGCGAUACCGCGAGGUGGAGGGAAUCCCUUAAAGCCGGUCUCAGUUCGGAUCGGGGUCUGCAACUCGACCCCGUGAAGUCGGAGUCGCUAGUAAUCCCAGCAUCAGCAACGCUGCGGUGAAUACGUUCCCGGGCCUUGUACACACCGCCCGUCACGUCAUGAAAGUCGGUAACACCCGAAGCCGGUGGCCUAACCCCUCGUGGGAGGGAGCCGUCGA
Molecule: ribosomal RNA, 1275 nt
Filed under: Rhodococcus ruber
Lineage: Bacteria; Bacillati; Actinomycetota; Actinomycetes; Mycobacteriales; Nocardiaceae
Description: bacterial SSU rRNA
Rfam family: Bacterial small subunit ribosomal RNA
Source: RNAcentral